RNAcentral lists this transfer RNA (76 nucleotides) under Roseivirga spongicola. Its description in RNAcentral is "tRNA-Gly". It matches the Rfam family "tRNA". Rfam says of the family: Transfer RNA (tRNA) molecules are approximately 80 nucleotides in length. Their secondary structure includes four short double-helical elements and three loops (D, anti-codon, and T loops). RNAcentral also lists the same sequence under 2 other names. The record is from RNAcentral. Lineage: Bacteria; Pseudomonadati; Bacteroidota; Cytophagia; Cytophagales; Roseivirgaceae.
GCGGGUGUAGCUCAGUUGGUAGAGCGACAGCCUUCCAAGCUGUAGGUCGCGGGUUCGAGCCUCGUCACCCGCUCAA